UGGAUGCACUUAGUGGCGGACGGGUGAGUAACGCGUGGGUACCUGCCUCACACUGGGGGAUAACAGUUAGAAAUAGCUGCUAAUACCGCAUAAGUCCGCAUGGAAAAAACUCCGGUGGUGUGAGAUGGACCCGCGUCUGAUUAGCCAGUUGGCGGGGUAACGGCCCACCAAAGCGACGAUCAGUAGCCGGCCUGAGAGGGUGAACGGCCACAUUGGGACUGAGACACGGCCCAAACUCCUACGGGAGGCAGCAGUGGGGAAUAUUGCACAAUGGGGGAAACCCUGAUGCAGCGACGCCGCGUGAGUGAAGAAGUAUUUCGGUAUGUAAAGCUCUAUCAGCAGGGAAGAAGUGACGGUACCUGAAUAAGAAGCCCCGGCUAACUACGUGCCAGCAGCCGCGGUAAUACGUAGGGGGCAAGCGUUAUCCGGAUUUACUGGGUGUAAAGGGAGCGUAGACGGCAAGGCAAGUCUGAAGUGAAAGCCCGGUGCUUAACGCCGGGACUGCUUUGGAAACUGUUUGGCUGGAGUGCCGGAGAGGUAAGCGGAAUUCCUAGUGUAGCGGUGAAAUGCGUAGAUAUUAGGAAGAACACCAGUGGCGAAGGCGGCUUACUGGACGGUAACUGACGUUGAGGCUC
Molecule: ribosomal RNA, 635 nt
Filed under: uncultured bacterium
Lineage: Bacteria
Description: bacterial SSU rRNA
Rfam family: Bacterial small subunit ribosomal RNA
Source: RNAcentral